UUUAUUGACAUGCCGAGUUCUGUAUAUCGGAAACGGGGGAACCACCCAGGGUGAAUUGCUUAAUGUAUUUUUUUAAGCAUAGGGAUCUUCAACCGAACCCAUAAGCUAACCUCGUAGGCACCGAAGGGAGAAGUU
RNAcentral lists this small RNA (135 nucleotides) under Paenibacillus sp. RNAcentral describes it as "c-di-AMP sequence". It matches the Rfam family "c-di-AMP riboswitch aptamer (ydaO/yuaA leader)". Rfam says of the family: This family represents a conserved RNA structure found upstream of the ydaO and yuaA genes in Bacillus subtilis and related genes in other bacteria. The ydaO/yuaA element is thought to act as a genetic "off" switch for the ydaO and yuaA genes in its native state. Lineage: Bacteria; Bacillati; Bacillota; Bacilli; Caryophanales; Paenibacillaceae. The record is from RNAcentral.